Molecule: ribosomal RNA, 400 nt
Filed under: uncultured bacterium
Lineage: Bacteria
Description: bacterial SSU rRNA
Rfam family: Bacterial small subunit ribosomal RNA
Source: RNAcentral
UGGGGAAUCUUGGACAAUGGGGGCAACCCUGAUCCAGCGAUGCCGCGUGUGUGAAGAAGGCCUUAGGGUUGUAAAGCACUUUAGUUGGGGAAGAGGAGUUUUGGUUAAAUAGGCCAAGACGAGGACAUUACCCAAAGAAUAAGCACCGGCUAACUCUGUGCCAGCAGCCGCGGUAAUACAGAGGGUGCAAGCGUUAAUCGGAAUAAUUGGGCGUAAAGAGUGCGUAGGUGGUUUGUUAAGUGGUAUGUGAAAGACCGGGGCUUAACCUUGGGGUGUCAUAUCAGACUGGCAAGCUAGAGGACAGUAGAGGAAGGUGGAAUUUCCGGUGUAGCGGUGAAAUGCGUAGAUAUCGGGAGGAACAUCAGUGGCGAAGGCGACCUUCUGGGCUGUACCUGACACU